UUUUGUACAUUACAAGUAAAAUGCAUAUCUUGUUGAGAUUGUUAGUGCUUAUGCAUCUACUAAUAUUCUCACAAUGUAUCAGGCAUCCUUUCUCUGCUAAUGAUCUAAGUGCACAGGCGUUUCCGCGGCCUCCGCCACCUCCUUUGAAAGUUUCGAUGCAGUCAGUAAUUGGACCGGAAUCGGAAGCACCGCCUAAGCUGCCUCCACCGUCUUGUAAACCAAGCCUCCACCGUGAUAGCUCCGGUCACUCCUCCAUGGAAUAUGUAGCACACUUCCAAGUUUCAUUAGAUGUUCUCAAUUUCAGAAUUUGUGUAUUAAACUCACUUCCAAAAUUGUUGAAUUUAGAGGUGAACCGAGUGCAAGCACAAGCGAUCAGGGAAAAGGGCACCUCCAUGGUUGACUAAGCAAGUAAUAUCAUUUUUUUACGUGUACAGAGUAUAGAAGCGAGUGAACUCGCUAGUUGGCAGCAGCACGUGUCAAGUCACCACCUCCCUUUUUGCUGGUACAGUCGGAGUUUACACGUGGCAUGCUUAGGUUGUCUUUUGUUUGUAAAUAGUUGGGUUACAAAUGUAAGGUUAUAACCUUCUUUUUGCUAGUGGAGUUGUAUAUAUAUCUAUCGAAACAGGUUAAUGUUAUUUUGUUAUGUAUAGUAGUAAAUAGUUGUGUUA
Salvia splendens (bonfire salvia) is the source of this 668-nucleotide long non-coding RNA. RefSeq lists it as uncharacterized. The transcript has 3 exons. NCBI's taxonomy places the organism in Eukaryota, Viridiplantae, Streptophyta, Magnoliopsida, Lamiales, Lamiaceae. The record is from RefSeq and is a predicted model, not a curated record.